RNAcentral lists this unclassified non-coding RNA (344 nucleotides) under soil metagenome. RNAcentral describes it as "partial contains 5.8S ribosomal RNA, internal transcribed spacer 2, and large subunit ribosomal RNA". The stretch from base 1 to 120 matches the Rfam family "5.8S ribosomal RNA", at positions 35 to 154 of the family's 154-position model. The record is from RNAcentral.
GAUGAAGAACGUAGCGAAAUGCGAUACGUAAUGUGAAUUGCAGAAUUCAGUGAAUCAUCGAGUCUUUGAACGCACAUUGCGCCCCCUGGUAUUCCGGGGGGCAUGCCUGUCCGAGCGUCAUUGCUGCCCUCAAGCACGGCUUGUGUGUUGGGCCUCCGUCCUCCUCCCGGGGGACGGCCCGAAAGGCAGCGGCGGCACCGCGUCCGGUCCUCGAGCGUAUGGGGCUUCGUCACCCGCUCUUGUAGGCCCGGCCGGCGCUUGCCGACACAUCAAUCUUUUUUCCAGGUUGACCUCGGAUCAGGUAGGGAUACCCGCUGAACUUAAGCAUAUCAAUAAGCGGAGGA